This is a long non-coding RNA of Pseudophryne corroboree (corroboree frog), 3057 nucleotides long. RefSeq lists it as uncharacterized. The transcript is spliced from 4 exons. Lineage: Eukaryota; Metazoa; Chordata; Amphibia; Anura; Myobatrachidae. The record is from RefSeq and is a predicted model, not a curated record.
UAUUACUUCACGUUUCCACUGGCUGAAGGAAGCAAUAGAUCAGCUGCUGUCAGCCCAUUAAAUGCAGAAUCUGGGAGGAACACAAAGGGACAGAUUCUAUAGUGUUGGCACUUGUGUAGAAUGCUUCCGGUUGUGUGGCUGCUUGAUUAUGUAUGGAAUCUGCUGGAAUACUUUCUGUGUGAGGCCGAGAGCGAGCGCACGUCUUCCUGCGCGUGUGAUGGUAUAGUCUGUAGUCGCACUGGGGUUCCAGAGAAUAGGGCAGCACAGGAGAGGGCAAAUAAAUGACUAGUGACAGGACUGGAUGGAAGAUACGGUGCGGAGUACAGCACUACAACAGGAAUGACCUGCUGGAUGCAUCUCACAACUGCAUCAUUAAGAUCGUUUGCAUGUUCACGUAGACAUAGAUGUCAGUCUUCCAGUGCUGUAAAUUAAGGAAGACCUUUUUUUCAAGAACAUGAAAUACAAAGUCAUACCUUUAUGUAAUAAUGAACAAUCAAAAAUGCUCAAGCGUACACUUCUGCAGCUGCCGGUGGAGUGACGUCAUCUCAGUGCUCACCUGCCGCCAUUGCCUUCUGGGUCCUGCGUCAAAGCAUCAUGAUGUCAGACGAUGGUGAAGCAAAAUAUUGGGCGCUACCUCCACAACCUCUCCUUCAUUACUCUGGCAACCAAGUCCUAGCAACAUCAUAUACAAACUAUGACAAUACAAGUGCACAAAUUAGUAAUAAAAAAAAACAAAUAAUGCAAUCUACCAUGCCAUGAAUAUCACAGACUUUACGUAAUCAAUCAGGCAAACGUAAAAAAAUAAAUAAAAAUAAAAAUCUUUAACGCAAUCCCCACCGUUGUUACUGAGGGGCACUGAAUAUUUGACAGCAUACUCUAUAAUUAUUGUAUACCUUACAUGGAAGAAAAUUCCAAAAGUGCUCUAAAUAAUUAUCAUUAUAUGCAAACUUUAUAGCUUCAUUACUGAACAGAUUACAGUGACACAUCAGGCUACAUCUAAAGGCCCCCAUCCACUAGGGAGUUUUAUCUCAGCAAUGAGUUGGAUCCAUUUUACCUGCAAUCUCGCCGGGAGCUUCCUGGGAGCGCUGCGAUUGCGAUUUGCUACUUGAGUUAUUUUUUACAUGUGAUUUAUCUCAUGCGAUCUAACGCACUGCUAUCCAUCUCGUGAUGGAUCUCAAAUGCCUUUUUUAACCUGCAGUUUCACAUAUGAUUGAUCAGAUGGCCUGGGCUAAAAUUAACAUAUGUAAACGGCAGCCAUUUUUAACUCUGGGCACACUAUGCUCUGUGACUAGCGAGGCUGGUUUAUACCUUCUGAGCGUUCCACAUUGCUACCGUGCACUGCUUUGUUUUGCUUUUCUUUUUCCUAUUCUAUUCUGAUAUGGAUCCCUAUCGCUAUAACCUCUUGUUAGCCUAUGGCUUUCUUAAGAAGAGACGUGACAGGGCUCAGAGAAGGAAGGGGUGAUGUCCUGCUGGACAAAGGAGUGGUUGAAGAAGAGGGGGACUCUUUCUCACAUGUCUCUGCUGACUUAAAUUAAGGAGAACACCCCAGAGGACUAUCGCAACUACCUGCGGAUGGAUGAUGAUGCAUUUUAGGAGUUACUGGCCCUGGUGACUCCUUAUAUUCAGAGGCAGGAUAGCAAGAUGCGGAGGGCCAUACCGCCUGAGAAGAGACUGACGGCUACCUUGAGGUAUCUGGCUAUCGUGCGUUCACUGGAAGAUCUAUAGUUUGGGACCAUCAUCUCUGCUCAAACUUUAGGGCAGAUCAUUCCUGACACCUGCAAGGCCAUUGUGAAGGUGCUGCAGAAUCAGUAUUUAAAGUUCCCUGCAAGUGUUGAAGAGUGGCAAGCCAACGGCCAGGAGUUUGAAACCAGGUGGAAUUUCCCUAAUUGUGGUGGAGCCAUCGAUGGGAAACACAUCCACAUUAACCCACCUAUCGACAGGUGGAUCGAUGUACUACAAUUAUAAGGGAUACUUUAGCAUCAUUCUGAUGGCAGUGGUAAAUGCAAACUACGAGUUUAUCUUCAUUGAUGUUGAUAAGAAUGGCCGGGCCUCAGACGGUGGAUCCCUGAAGAGCACUGCAUUUUAUGAGAGACUUAUCCCAAACAAGAUGAACUUGCCUUCUAGGGGAGAAACAACAGACAGCCUCAAUUUUGUUUUUGUGGUGGAUGAGGCCUUUUCAUACCACGAACACAUCAUUAAGCACUAUUCCCAAAGAAAGGUGUUUAAGGAGAAGAUCUUUAACUAUAGACUAUCAAGUGCAUGGCGUAUUGUGGAGAACGCUUUUGGGAUACUUUCUAACCGCUUUCGGAUCUUCCUCAUCACAUUCAACCUCAGUGUGGACAAAAUAGACUGGGUGGUGACUGCAUGCUGUGUCCUCCAUAAUUUUCUGCGCAGCCAAACAAGCCAGCAUAAGCCAAUGGUCGCAACAGCAGCACCGGAUGAGGAAGAGGAGGAUUCUCUGCUAGCACCUCCUCCCCUCUCCAAGGGGACUGCUCGUGCAAACCAUGUCAGGGAGGAGUACCUGGCCUAUUUUAAUGGCGUAGGCACAGUCCACUGGCAGAAGAAUGCAAUAACGUAAUGUGAGUGGAGUGUGGUGGACUGUGGGGGCCAAGGUUAACAAUUAAAGUGUCCAUUUACACUCCGCUGCGUCUGCCCACGGGAUGGAGUAAAAUCCAGUCCUUGUCGGUUCAGGCUCAUUUAGGAACAACAUCAGACUGUAAUACCACAACGUAGGGGUGUAUAUUUCAUCUGUGACUGCCCCGUAGCGCUUAGAAUCCUCCAUCUUUUUCUGCUCCUUUUUGUAGACUGCAGAGGUUAUGCCAUUUCUUUUUUUACCCACUCCACAUCAGCUGCUGCAAAGAAUGGCUUGCUAAAUUCCACCAACUCCUCAUUGGCGGAAAGGCGUUUGGCCUCAUUGGCGUACUCCUUGGACUUGACUUUCCGCAAGCAUUCCUUGCACUGUACCAGCUCAAUGAAGCUGGUGCUGAAAUCCAAAUUUUUGUCAAGAGACAUUUGAAAAAAAGGAUCCAGACAAAAUGUAAUUUUUGUUUUAUUACU